CCUACGGGAGGCAGCAGUGAGGAAUAUUGGUCAAUGGGAGAGAUCCUGAACCAGCCAAGCCGCGUGAGGGAAGACGGCCCUAUGGGUUGUAAACCUCUUUUGUCGGAGAACAAAACCCGGGACGUGUCCCGGACUGCGUGUAUCCGAAGAAAAAGCAUCGGCUAACUCCGUGCCAGCAGCCGCGGUAAUACGGAGGAUGCGAGCGUUAUCCGGAUUUAUUGGGUUUAAAGGGUGCGUAGGCGGUCCGUUAAGUCAGCGGUAAAAUGGCGGGGCUCAACCCCGUCGAGCCGUGGAAACUGGCAGACUUGAGUGGGCGAGAAGUACGCGGAAUGCGCGGUGUAGCGGUGAAAUGCAUAGAUAUCGCGAAGAACUCCGAUUGCGAAGGCAGCGUACCGGCGCCAGACUGACGCUGAGGCACGAAAGCGUGGGGAUCGAACAGGAUUAGAUACCCCAGUAGUC
This 459-nucleotide ribosomal RNA is filed under the name uncultured bacterium. Its description in RNAcentral is "partial 16S ribosomal RNA". It matches the Rfam family "Bacterial small subunit ribosomal RNA", at positions 338 to 795 of the family's 1533-position model. The record is from RNAcentral.